Molecule: long non-coding RNA, 1382 nt
Filed under: Homo sapiens (human)
Lineage: Eukaryota; Metazoa; Chordata; Mammalia; Primates; Hominidae
Description: PREDICTED lncRNA (TCONS_00183004)
Source: RNAcentral
CUUACUGGUAGGAGUUUUUGUUGGCUUAGAACCCUCCGUCUCUUUUUCAUCUGUGUAUUUCAGUGCUCUUUUAGCUAGAGGCCUGGUGACUGGUCUAUCUGAAUUGCUCGUGGGAUUCUGAAUGUACUUGCAAGUGGGCAAAUAGAGGUCAUCGGAAUCAUCUCCUGAACCACUUGAUUCACAGAGGCUCACUUCAGACUCGUUGUUUUCUUCUCUAUUAGAGUCAUUGCUCACUUUUUGUCGGAAAGGAGUAAGAUGAACACCCUCUUCCAAAUUAAAAUUUAAACGUUCCUGGCUGAAUCAGCUUUGGUGAUAAGUUAACUUGGUCCUUGCUCCAUUGACAAGCAUUGUGUUGUACAUUUUCAGGGACUCCAGGAAGGCCGGGGGGAGGUGGGGCUGGCGGAAGUGGACGCGGCGACCCUCCUGCCGCAGGCGCGUCCAGAACGAUACCUUGGCCACUACUUCUGCAACAGCUAUCUUCCUCCUCCUCACAUUUCAAGGCUCUUCGAAGCUCUCCAGCCACGGCUAGCCCCGCGCACUGGGCCCUCCAGGACCGUACCACCGUCCGCCGUCGCCUGGAACUACCGCCGCCACAUUCGAAAUUUUCCGCCUCGCUCCUCCAUUGGUUGGCUGGGAGGCGGUCACGUGGCGCAGGAUGCACCCAACACCACCGUCGCAGGCAGAGUCCCGCCCCGCCAGGCGACGUCACGUGACGCACAUUCGCUCAAGUCCACAUCCGGGCAUCCACCUGGCCCUGGGGCGGAGCCUGCGGUCGGGUCUCGGCGACCCGCCGGGACUUUCUAAUCAGAGUCGUGGGGAUUUUACGGGUGGAGUUACUCCGAAACCUUUAAGGCCGAGUGUGAUAGGUAGUUCAAAGCUUCCUGUUUCUUCAGUCUGACAGCUUCAAAUGUCCCGGGUUGUGCUCAAAGCCUCCCUCUUGUGAGAAGAAUCUCUUUGGUUGCCUGUUAAAGCGGUCAGCCAGCUUGCAACACGGAAGCAGCUUUUAGAGGAAUUAAAACCAAAACAAGGAGCAAAUUCUGGAUUAAAAAGAUAUUUGCAACCAUUCUUCCAAUCAAUUUUAGAAAAUUUCCACCACCUCAAAAAGAAAUCCUGAUGAAGAAACAUCCUGAGAAGGUUGACAUGCUGAAUGCCUUAAAGAACUUCAAUUGGGAUGCCAGAUGAAAGUGUAACUAGAAUUUCUAUGGCUUAAAUAACGAGAGCUGGAGUGCAGUAGCAUGAUCAUGGCUCACUGCUGCCUCGACCUCCCGGGCUCAGAGAUUCUCUUGCCUCAGCCUCCUGAGUAGCUGGGACCACAGAGAUGGGGUCUCUCUGUUGCCCAGGCUUGUCUGGAACACCUGGGCUCAAAUAAUCCUCCUGCCUUG